Molecule: long non-coding RNA, 672 nt
Filed under: Anas platyrhynchos platyrhynchos (common mallard)
Lineage: Eukaryota; Metazoa; Chordata; Aves; Anseriformes; Anatidae
Description: lncRNA (ENSAPLG00000031043.1)
Source: RNAcentral
GAGGGGGCGGGGCCACGCCCAGGCCCCGCCUCCCCCGGGGGGCUCCGGCCCCGCCCCCCCUCGGCGGCUCCGUCCGGGCCCGGGGCCUGGAGGGGAGCGGGAGCGGCGCCGGGAGCUGCCUCCGCCAUCGGGCGCCGCGCCGGAAGUGGCGUCACCGGAAGCCGGGGGGUGGGUUUUAUAGGGGGGAGUCACGUGACGCGCGUUGCUAGGAGACGAGGGGGCGGGGCCGGGCGUUGCUAGGAGACGGAGGGGUUGGCGGGGGUCACGUGACGCGCGUUGCUAGGAGACGAAGGGGCGUAGCCGGGCGUUGCUAGGGGCGGGGCCAGGCGUUGCUAGGAGACGGGGGGGAGGCCUCAGGGCCUCCCAGUGCUCCCAGUGCCCUCCCAGUAGGCCACUGGCUCCGCCCAGUCCCCUCCCAGUUCAUCCCAGUUCAUCCCAGUGCCCCCCAGUCCCCUCCUAUACUGGUCCCAGUGCCUCCCAGUCCCCGCCCAGUCCCUCCAAUCCCCUCCCAGUCCCUCCCAGUCCCCUCCCAGUCCUUCCCAGUCGCUCCCAGUGCCCCUAAUCCCCUCCUAUACUGGUCCCAGUCCCUCCCAGUUACCUCCCAGUCCCUCCCAGUUACCUCCCAGUCCCUCCAAUCCCCUCCCAGUCCCCUCCCAGUCCCUCCAAUCCCCU